AGCAUUUAGUAUUUUGUAUUUUGCAACUUUAUAAUAAACGUUUGAUAAUAAAGGAAUUUAUUUGAACGUAUUUCGCUCUGGCCCCUUUUAAUCUACGAUCGUUCAACGCGAUUUGAUUACGCUUUUAUUUGUUCACUUUCCCAUACAGAAGGAACAUAUUUUUUUAAAUAUUUGCCAUUAAUGAACCUCAUGUGCUUGGUGCCGUCUAAAUCUUCCAAAUGAUAGGCUCCAUUAGGCAACACAUUAUUUACUUUAUAUGGUCCUUCCCAAUUGGGCGACCACUUGCCAUACUUUGGAUCUUUGCUAUCCAAAGGGAGUAUUGUCUUUCAAACCAAUUUGCCCAGGCUGAACGACUUGGCUAUAACUUUUUUAUUAUAAAAUUU
Molecule: long non-coding RNA, 383 nt
Filed under: Olea europaea (common olive)
Lineage: Eukaryota; Viridiplantae; Streptophyta; Magnoliopsida; Lamiales; Oleaceae
Description: long non-coding RNA (OEUR_LNC006616)
Source: RNAcentral